Molecule: ribosomal RNA, 484 nt
Filed under: uncultured bacterium
Lineage: Bacteria
Description: partial 16S ribosomal RNA
Rfam family: Bacterial small subunit ribosomal RNA
Source: RNAcentral
AUUGAACGCUGGCGGAAUGCUUUACACAUGCAAGUCGAGCGGCAGCGCGGCCUUCGGGCUGGCGGCGGGCGGCGAACGGGUGAGUAAUGCAUCGGAACAUGCCCAGUCGUGGGGGAUAACACUUCGAAAGAAGUGCUAAUACCGCAUACGUGCUGCGGGGGAAAGCGGGGGAUCGCAAGACCUCGCGCGAUUGGAGUGGCCGAUGUCAGAUUAGCCAGUUGGUGGGGUAAAGGCCUACCAAGCCGACGAUCCGUAGCUGGUCUGAGAGGAUGAUCAGCCACACUGGGACUGCGACACGGCCCAGUCUCCUACGGGAGGCAGCAGUGGGGAAUGUUGGACAAUGGGGGCAACCCUGACCCAGCCAUUCCGCGUGUGUGAAGAAGGCCUUCGGGUUGUAAAGCUCUUUCGGCAGGAACGAAACGGUGUGCUCUAACAUAGUCCGCUAAUGACGGUACCUGAAGAAGAAGCACCGGCUAACUACGUG